This 496-nucleotide ribosomal RNA is filed under the name uncultured bacterium. Its description in RNAcentral is "partial 16S ribosomal RNA". It matches the Rfam family "Bacterial small subunit ribosomal RNA", at positions 30 to 523 of the family's 1533-position model. The record is from RNAcentral.
AUUGAACGCUGGCGGCAUGCUUUACACAUGCAAGUCGAACGGUAGAGGGGGCAACCCCUUGAGAGUGGCGAACGGGUGAGUAAUGCAUCGGAACGUGCCCAGUCGUGGGGGAUAACGCAGCGAAAGCUGUGCUAAUACCGCAUACGAUCUCUGGAUGAAAGCGGGGGACCGAAAGGCCUCGCGCGAUUGGAGCGGCCGAUGUCAGAUUAGGUAGUUGGUGGGGUAAAGGCUCACCAAGCCAACGAUCUGUAGCUGGUCUGAGAGGACAACCCGCCACACUGGGACUGAGACACGGCCCAGACUCCUACGGGAGGCAGCAGUGGGGAAUUUUGGACAAUGGGCGCAAGCCUGAUCCAGCAAUGCCGCGUGCAGGAAGAAGGCCUUCGGGUUGUAAACUGCUUUUGUACGGAACGAAAAGGUCUGGGUUAAUACCCUGGGCACAUGACGGUACCGUAAGAAUAAGCACCGGCUAACUACGUGCCAGCCGCCGCAGUAA